This 253-nucleotide ribosomal RNA is filed under the name uncultured bacterium. RNAcentral describes it as "partial 16S ribosomal RNA". It matches the Rfam family "Bacterial small subunit ribosomal RNA", at positions 524 to 776 of the family's 1533-position model. The record is from RNAcentral.
UACGUAGGGGGCAAGCGUUGUCCGGAAUCAUUGGGCGUAAAGAGCGUGUAGGCGGUUCGGUAAGUCGGCUGUGAAAGUCCAGGGCUCAACCCUGGGAUGCCGGUCGAUACUGUCGGACUAGAGUACAGAAGGGGCAACUGGAAUUCUCGGUGUAGCGGUGAAAUGCGUAGAUAUCGAGAGGAACACCUGCGGCGAAGGCGGGUUGCUGGGCUGAUACUGACGCUGAGGCGCGAAAGCCAGGGGAGCGAACGGG